This is an unclassified non-coding RNA of Otolemur garnettii (small-eared galago), 101 nucleotides long. It matches the Rfam family "Y RNA". Rfam says of the family: Y RNAs are components of the Ro ribonucleoprotein particle (Ro RNP), in association with Ro60 and La proteins. The Y RNAs and Ro60 and La proteins are well conserved, but the function of the Ro RNP is not known. In humans the RNA component can be one of four small RNAs -- hY1, hY3, hY4 and hY5. The record is from Ensembl. Lineage: Eukaryota; Metazoa; Chordata; Mammalia; Primates; Galagidae.
GGCUGGUCUGAGUGCAGUGGUGUUUACAACCAAUAGAUAUAACCAGUUAUAGACUCUUUUGUUCCUUCUCCACUCCCACUGCAUCAGUUGACUGGCCUUAA